This 430-nucleotide ribosomal RNA is filed under the name uncultured bacterium. RNAcentral describes it as "bacterial SSU rRNA". It matches the Rfam family "Bacterial small subunit ribosomal RNA", at positions 355 to 775 of the family's 1533-position model. The record is from RNAcentral.
UGCGGAAUUUUAGAUAAUGGAGGGAACUCUGAUCUAGCGACGCCGCGUGCAGGAAGAAGGUCUUCGGAUUGUAAACUGCUGUGGUAAGGGAAAAAUGCUAUGUAGAGUGGAAAGCUACAUAGAGGGAUGGUACCUUACUAGAAAGCUCCGGCUAACUACGUGCCAGCAGCCGCGGUAAUACGUAGGGGGCGAGCGUUACCCGGAAUCACCGGGCGUAAAGGGAGCGUAGGUGGCCUAACAUGUCAACUGUGAAAACCCGGAGCUCAACUCCGGACUUGCAGUUGAAACUGGUAGGCUUGAGGACGGUAGAGGAAGACGGAACUGCCAGUGUAGGGGUAAAAUCCUUAGAUAUUGGCAGGAACGCCGGUGACGAAUGUGGUUUUCUGAGCCGGUUCUGACACUGAUGCUCGAAAGCCAGGGGAGCGAACGG